RNAcentral lists this ribosomal RNA (484 nucleotides) under uncultured bacterium. RNAcentral's name for it is "partial 16S ribosomal RNA". It matches the Rfam family "Bacterial small subunit ribosomal RNA", at positions 30 to 507 of the family's 1533-position model. The record is from RNAcentral.
AUUGAACGCUGGCGGCAGGCCUAACACAUGCAAGUCGAGCGGAUGAAGGGAGCUUGCUCCUGGAUUCAGCGGCGGACGGGUGAGUAAUGCCUAGGAAUCUGCCUGGUAGUGGGGUAUAACGUCCGGAAACGGGCGCUAAUACCGCAUACGUCCUGAGGGAGAAAGUGGGGGAUCUUCGGACCUCACGCUAUCAGAUGAGCCUAGGUCGGAUUAGCUAGUUGGUGGGGUAAAGGCCUACCAAGGCGACGAUCCGUAACUGGUCUGAGAGGAUGAUCAGUCACACUGGAACUGAGACACGGUCAAGACUACUACGGGACGCAGCAGUGGGGAAUAUUGGACAACGGGCGAAAGCCUGGUCCAGCCAUGCCGAGUGUGUGAAGAAGGUCUUCGGAUUGUAAAGACCUUUAAGUUGGGAGGAAGGGCAGUAAGUUAAUACCUUGCUGUUUUGACGUUACCAACAGAAUAAGCACCGGCUAACUUCGUG